AUAAUGGGUCAGCGACUUAUAUUCUGUAGCAAGGUUAACCGAAUAGGGGAGCCGAAGGGAAACCGAGUCUUAACUGGGCGUUAAGUUGCAGGGUAUAGACCCGAAACCCGGUGAUCUAGCCAUGGGCAGGUUGAAGGUUGGGUAACACUAACUGGAGGACCGAACCGACUAAUGUUGAAAAAUUAGCGGAUGACUUGUGGCUGGGGGUGAAAGGCCAAUCAAACCGGGAGAUAGCUGGUUCUCCCCGAAAGCUAUUUAGGUAGCGCCUCGUGAAUUCAUCUCCGGGGGUAGAGCACUGUUUCGGCAAGGGGGUCAUCCCGACUUACCAACCCGAUGCAAACUGCGAAUACCGGAGAAUGUUAUCACGGGAGACACACGGCGGGUGCUAACGUCCGUCGUGAAGAGGGAAACAACCCAGACCGCCAGCUAAGGUCCCAAAGUCAUGGUUAAGUGGGAAACGAUGUGGGAAGGCCCAGACAGCCAGGAUGUUGGCUUAGAAGCAGCCAUCAUUUAAAGAAAGCGUAAUAGCUCACUGGUCGAGUCGGCCUGCGCGGAAGAUGUAACGGGGCUAAACCAUGCACCGAAGCUGCGGCAGCGACGCUGAUGCGUUGUUGGGUAGGGGAGCGUUCUGUAAGCCUGCGAAGGUGUGCUGUGAGGCAUGCUGGAGGUAUCAGAAGUGCGAAUGCUGACAUAAGUAACGAUAAAGCGGGUGAAAAGCCCGCUCGCCGGAAGACCAAGGGUUCCUGUCCAACGUUAAUCGGGGCAGGGUGAGUCGACCCCUAAGGCGAGGCCGAAAGGCGUAGUCGAUGGGAAACAGGUUAAUAUUCCUGUACUUGGUGUUACUGCGAAGGGGGGACGGAGAAGGCUAUGUUGGCCGGGCGACGGUUGUCCCGGUUUAAGCGUGUAGGCUGGUUUUCCAGGCAAAUCCGGAAAAUCAAGGCUGAGGCGUGAUGACGAGGCACUGCGGUGCUGAAGCAACAAAUGCCCUGCUUCCAGGAAAAGCCUCUAAGCAUCAGGUAACAUCAAAUCGUACCCCAAACCGACACAGG
RNAcentral lists this ribosomal RNA (1049 nucleotides) under Escherichia coli. RNAcentral's name for it is "partial 23S ribosomal RNA". It matches the Rfam family "Bacterial large subunit ribosomal RNA", at positions 612 to 1663 of the family's 2925-position model. Lineage: Bacteria; Pseudomonadati; Pseudomonadota; Gammaproteobacteria; Enterobacterales; Enterobacteriaceae. The record is from RNAcentral.